RNAcentral lists this ribosomal RNA (183 nucleotides) under uncultured bacterium. RNAcentral's name for it is "partial 16S ribosomal RNA". It matches the Rfam family "Bacterial small subunit ribosomal RNA", at positions 1317 to 1500 of the family's 1533-position model. The record is from RNAcentral.
UGCAUGAAGUCGGAAUUGCUAGUAAUCGCGGAUCAGCAUGCCGCGGUGAAUACGUUCCCGGGCCUUGUACACACCGCCCGUCACACCAUGGGAGCCGGUAAUACCCGAAGUCAGUAGUCCAACCACGUGAGGACGCUGCCGAAGGUAGGAUUGGCGACUGGGGUGAAGUCGUAACAAGGUACC